AACAACGAAUUGUGAGAAGUCAGCAGAGGUCAUAGUACCGAGAAAUCGGGAAGGAC
Molecule: non-coding RNA, 56 nt
Filed under: bovine gut metagenome
Source: RNAcentral